Molecule: ribosomal RNA, 97 nt
Filed under: uncultured bacterium
Lineage: Bacteria
Description: partial 16S ribosomal RNA
Rfam family: Bacterial small subunit ribosomal RNA
Source: RNAcentral
CACACCGCCCGUCACACCAUGGGAGUUUGUUGCACCAGAAGCAGGUAGCCUAACCGCAAGGGGGGCGCUUGCCACGGUGUGGUCGAUGACUGGGGUG